ACCCCGUUAAUUGAGAGGUAAUGAUCCUUGGCAUUUUCAUCUUCAAAGCCAGGAACAAACUGUAAUUAAUGCUCCCACCACCCGGGGGCAGGGUGGGGUGUAGGGAACCUUGAGCUACUGCUACUCAGGGAAACUGAGGCAUUGGUGGAAAGUCCUUAGGAAAGAGGAACGGAGCCCAGCAUAUGCUGGGAUCUUCGGGGAGCUGGGAACACAUCAGAGCAAUGCCCUCUCCAAAACCUUGGCAGCCUGGAGAGAGUUGGGGAGAAGCCAAGGUCGUGUGUUGGAUGGGAGACCUACACAGGCCUCACCACAGGUAGUAGCAGGGUAACUGGGUUUGCUGGUGGCUGAGCUUAAGGAGCUUGGGCCCAGGCUGUGCCUAGUUUCCCAAAGCACGGCCUGGGAUGCUUCAGGAGUGGACCUUGCAGUCCCCAGCGUGUGCUGCCGUCUCUGUAGAGCGCAGAGGGAGAGGACGUGGAAGUCCUUCGCUCCCAAAUGCAGGCGGGCUCCCCGCACAUUCAGAGUGACUCAUCAGGCGACUCCCGAAAUGCCUCCCGGUUUCUUCAUCUCAGUCUGGCUACCCCAAGCCCGGAGGGAGUUUUUCAUUAGCAUGAUUAUCCUGCUGUUGUUAAAAGCUGGUAAAUCUCACCCAGAGACCGAGGCCGGGAGCAGCCUCUGAACUGCAGUCUGAGUUCAUAGGUCCCCAGCUGCGGGCCAGCGGCGCCACUCAACGUCUCCCGUCACCAGUUCAAACCCAGAUGUCCAAACCCAGAUGUCCGGGUACCUGGGGCAAGACUCUCAGGCUUUGUGCGGUCUCAGGGACGCCAUCUCCCCCGUCUCCCACCCUCCAAGUGCUCACCCCCAGGGCAUACAGCCAAGUUCUGUUCUACCGGAUAUCACCCUGGGCAGGACAGGGGGGUGGGUUUUCACAGCCUUACACCUCAGUCUUCUUGGCGGGAAUGUUGUGGGGAUGCCUUGUUCACAGGCUUCCCUAAUCCCCCUUCCCCAUUUGUGCACUUCCUUGAUAAAUGUGCCCCUUCAACACAAAGGCAGAAGAGUAACUUCUGAUUUUGUGUAGAUAUCCAUUGCAUCCCUAUUUCUUCCUGGCCCCAACACCAUCCCCAUCCACAUGGCAGGAGCAUCUGGUGUCUAGUAGGGCUUUGCCCUUUUCUUUUCUUUUCUUUUCUUUUCUUUCCUUUUCUUUCUUUCUUUCUUUCUUUCUUUCUUUCUUUCUUUCUUUCUUUCUUUCUUUCUUUCUUUCUUUCUUCUUUCUCUCUUUUUAACAAGUCUUCAGGGGGUUGUGUGCCCACGGCCCCAUCACACAUUGAGCUAAGGCACUGGUGAAAGGAGAUCAGGUCUUUGCAGUGGGGAAAGUCAGGUCCCGUGAGGCUUCAGGGUGGUGGGUAGGGAGAGUAAACAAAUACAGAUGAUCUGGUGGUAAGGAGUGUGGGUAAAAAUAAAUUAGGAAGAGAGGGUGAAGGGUGGUGAGGCCUAUCUUGGUAGCUACUCUUUGAUGCUUGCAUUUGGAGGUAUGGGUUGGUCUGCUGGCUUACCUGUCAAAGUACUGAGUUCCAACAUAUGGGUCAGAGUUUUAGUCCAGUUAUGUCUUGGCUUAUUAGAUGUUCUGAAAAAUUCCAUGUGAUUAUUUGUUUACUUCUUCACUUAGUCUCACCAGGGGCCCAUGGGAUGGCUCGUCAGGAGGGAUGCCAGCUGCUGAGCCGGACAACCUGAGUUUGGUGCUGAGGGAACCGACGCUGCCAGCUGCUGAGCCGGACAACCUGAGUUUGGUGCUGAGGGAACCGAUGCUGGAAGCUGUCCGUGCUUGUCGGACCAUGUGCAUCCCUAUGUGAAUGCACACACAAUUAAAAAAAAAAAAUCACACGGCACUAUUCUGUUGUCUGAUCUCAGCACACUCCCUGCAUGGGAAGAUGGAGAGCAGUAGACCAUGCAACCAGACAGAAGCGGAGGGGUUCCAGCAUCUCCAGGGCAGGGGCUGUAGCCCACCAUCGUUGUUCCCCUGGGAUGUCUGCACACAAUGGGCAGGGGUGUAGCUCCCCUUCCCUUUGCUACCCCGGUCAUCAAAAACCGAGGACCUGCAGCCUCAUAUAGAGCGUUGCUAACCACCAUGCCUCCCCUAACAUGAUAGACUGUGCCCUCUGAAACCGUUCGCCAAGACAAAUCCCUCCCCUAAUUUGUUCAUGUCUGAUCAAUGAGAAGAGUAACUAAUAUUUUCCUUAAGCGUGUGAACACGGAAGUGACCUGGAAGAUGGGACAGACUGGACCACCGGUUAGAGCCAAUCACCAGAUGCAUGUCUGAAAGAGACUCAAGAGAAGGGCGGACCUGCAAGGGGGAGGCCAGGCUCUGGUGUCAGGAACUACAUCGGGUUGUGGAGAGCCAAAGCCAUCCCAUCAGCAGGCUGAACCUUGAGUUCACAGAUCUCAGGCAAAGCCUUUCUCUUUUCCAGAGACUCAGCUGCCAUCCCAGGAGGGUUAUGGGACCUAGCCGGCUGAGCUGCCUCUCAGGUCAAGAGGGGAUGAGGGUUAGGCUGGGCUUUGGUUCCCUGUCAUGCCAAAGGUCAACAAGUGGCUCCCCUCAGAGCAUGUGCGCUUGGGAUCUGGGGUCCCAAAUGCCUCUCUUCUAUAAACAGUAAUUUUUAUUUGAGGUUUCAAAAAAAAAAAAAAACCCAACGCUAAUUUAUUUGAAUUCUGUGUGUGAAUGUGUGUAUGUGCUCGG
Molecule: long non-coding RNA, 2731 nt
Organism: Peromyscus californicus insignis
Lineage: Eukaryota; Metazoa; Chordata; Mammalia; Rodentia; Cricetidae
Exons: 3
Source: RefSeq, a predicted model, not a curated record